CGGCUGCGGAGGCUGGCGCGGGCUGCUGCACCUUUAACGCUUUCUGGCGCUGACAGGCGGCGGCCCAGCUAAAGUUCACAGCGCCCGGGGAGGGCCCGCCUCCGCCUCCCCUCCCGCCCCCGCCUCCCCUCCCCCAGGCCGGCCCCGGCCCCCGGCCCCGGACAGGCCCGCCGCGCGGCCGCUUGAGCUGCGAGCUGAGGAGGCCCGUUGGCUGUUCCCGCAAAGAGUGGGGGGCGCAUUUUCUCUCCUGCCAGCCCGCUCCAUCCUGGUCGUUUAUUCCCGGCCUUCCCUCACCCCCCACCCCCACAGCCUGCUGGGAAACCAGACGACCCAGCGGCCACGGGACGAGUCACCCCAACUCAACCCCAGCAGGACGCUGGAGGGGCCUCCCUUGCCCACCUCUCUUCGCUAGCACUGGCCUCCCGCACCUGGGUCUGCAGUCCCUCCGCCAUCUCACAAGUGUGCAGCCGCUAGGCCUGGGGGAUCCGAAUGACUGGGGCUGGAUAGGAAUGCCUUCGUGUUUCCCAAGACCCCCGGGCCUGCUCCACAAAGUUUGAAGGGCUUCUGCUUUGUGUGAUCAGGGAAGGGAUCCCACAUAUGGGAAUGGUUAAUGGAUUUUGGGACUCUCUAGGAGCCCCUGUUUUAAGAAGGAGGCCAAAUGUGCAGGCUCAGGCCAAGCAGCAGAGAUGAAUGAGGUGAUGACCACAGCCUUGAUCCGGCAGGAGCUCAGAGAUGCCCGGGAAGACGGGGGGCCCGAAUGGAAGCAGAAAAACACUUAUGGCCGCUGGGAAGUUGGGAGAGCCAGGCUGGGGCUCCGGCAGGCCCAGGGAAAGUUCCCUUUCUAGGCUCUUUAUUAAAAAAUUUAAAAGGAGGAGUUGAGGCGCCUUGAAUUUUCCUUCGCGAGUUUGGAGACCAGCCGAUUUUUCAUGAAGCAAGCAAGGGCCGCGGUCCCGGAUCCUGCAACAUAUACCUCAUUUUCUCCAGGCCUCUCCACUUGCCCGAGCUCUCAGCCACCAGGAGACAGACGGAAGGGGCUUCUGGGCUGUGUUGGGAGCGGGCAUUGUCCCCUACCCACUCCUGCACAGUUUCCCAAAGUCCAGCGACCUCCGACCCUCCUUGGGGAAAAAAAUACCAGUACCCAGACACCUCUGCACCCUGUUAUAUGACUGGGCUUGCUUCAGGAAUAUCUUACAAAGAAGAAGAAGGAGGAGGAACGGCUUGGAGUCAUGUUUACAUCUAGUUCUACUGAUCCGUUCACAUCUGGAGAGUUUAUUUAUAACUCCCUCUAUAACUCUCUGUUUGGAGGCACUGGUGGCUCUACUGACAGACUGAUGUCUAGGAAAUAUUGCUCUAUGUCUAAUGGUACCUAAAUGUGCUGUGGUUGUAUUUACAGAUUUACGUUUGAGGGAAAUAUAAUUAUUUCCAUUGUAUUUGUGCAUAUACAGUAGUUAUAGGAGCAGAUUUAUAUAUGGGAAAAUAUGCGACUCCCUUACAGCCAUCCGGCUUUAUGUACAUUUGAUAUCCUGACAGAUUUAUAUCUCUGAAGAGCUAUAUAGAUUAAAACGUAUAUUGUUAGAAUUAUGUAUCAGGAGAUAUAUACUUAUUGAUUGCGAAAUAGAGUAGUUAGAGCAUUCACUUAGAGCCAUAUAUGGCUAUGGAGAUAUUUCUAUAUUAUUAUCACUAUAUAUAGGCAUAUCUAUUUAUAACUGCAUAGUUAUAAAAAUAGACAUAA
This 1732-nucleotide long non-coding RNA is filed under the name Homo sapiens (human). RNAcentral's name for it is "HSALNT0149271". Lineage: Eukaryota; Metazoa; Chordata; Mammalia; Primates; Hominidae. The record is from RNAcentral.